AAAAGUUAGUUUAGAAAAAACAUUAAUUUGUCAAAUUAAAAAGAUUGUAAUCAAUACUUUUUA
This 63-nucleotide transfer RNA is filed under the name Tuxedo cruralis. RNAcentral's name for it is "tRNA-Asp". Lineage: Eukaryota; Metazoa; Arthropoda; Insecta; Hemiptera; Miridae. The record is from RNAcentral.